CCUACGGGAGGCAGCAGCAGGGAAUCUUGCGCAAUGGGCGAAAGCUUGACGCAGCAACGCCGCGUGGGGGAUGAAGGCCUUCGGGUUGUAAACCCCUUUCAGGAGGGAAGAAAUUGACGGUACCUCCAGAAGAAGGACCGGCCAACUACGUGCCAGCAGCCGCGGUAAUACGUAGGGUCCUAGCGUUAUCCGGAAUCAUU
Molecule: ribosomal RNA, 200 nt
Filed under: uncultured bacterium
Lineage: Bacteria
Description: partial 16S ribosomal RNA
Rfam family: Bacterial small subunit ribosomal RNA
Source: RNAcentral